This 496-nucleotide ribosomal RNA is filed under the name uncultured bacterium. RNAcentral describes it as "partial 16S ribosomal RNA". It matches the Rfam family "Bacterial small subunit ribosomal RNA", at positions 28 to 506 of the family's 1533-position model. The record is from RNAcentral.
GAUGAACGCUGGCGGCGUGCCUAAUACAUGCAAGUCGAGCGAACAGACGAGGGGCUUGCUCCUCUGACGUUAGCGGCGGACGGGUGAGUAACACGUGGAUAACCUACCUAUAAGACUGGGAUAACUUCGGGAAACCGGAGCUAAUACCGGAUAAUAUAUUGAACCGCAUGGUUCAAUAGUGAAAGACGGUUUUGCUGUCACUUAUAGAUGGAUCCGCGCCGCAUUAGCUAGUUGGUAAGGUAACGGCUUACCAAGGCAACGAUGCGUAGCCGACCUGAGAGGGUGAUCGGCCACACUGGAACUGAGACACGGUCCAGACUCCUACGGGGGGCAGCAGUAGGGAAUCUUCCGCAAUGGGCGAAAGCCUGACGGAGCAACGCCGCGUGAGUGAUGAAGGUCUUCGGAUCGUAAAACUCUGUUAUUAGGGAAGAACAAAUGUGUAAGUAACUAUGCACGUCUUGACGGUACCUAAUCAGAAAGCCACGGCUAACUACGG